This 496-nucleotide ribosomal RNA is filed under the name uncultured bacterium. RNAcentral describes it as "partial 16S ribosomal RNA". It matches the Rfam family "Bacterial small subunit ribosomal RNA", at positions 28 to 506 of the family's 1533-position model. The record is from RNAcentral.
GAUGAACGCUGGCGGCGUGCCUAAUACAUGCAAGUCGAGCGAACAGACGAGGAGCUUGCUCCUUUGACGUUAGCGGCGGACGGGUGAGUAACACGUGGGUAACCUACCUAUAAGACUGGGAUAACUUCGGGAAACCGGAGCUAAUACCGGAUAAUAUUUCGAACCGCAUGGUUCGAUAGUGAAAGAUGGCUUUGCUAUCACUUAUAGAUGGACCUGCGCCGUAUUAGCUAGUUGGUAAGGUAACGGCUUACCAAGGCAACGAUACGUAGCCGACCUGAGAGGGUGAUCGGCCACACUGGAACUGAGACACGGUCCAGACUCCUACGGGAGGCAGCAGUAGGGAAUCUUCCGCAAUGGGCGAAAGCCUGACGGAGCAACGCCGCGUGAGUGAUGAAGGUCUUCGGAUCGUAAAACGCUGUUAUUAGGGAAGAACAAACGUGUAAGUAACUGUGCACGUCUUGACGGUACCUAAUCAGAAAGCCACGGCUAACUACGU